AUACGGAGGGUGCAAGCGUUAAUCGGAAUUACUGGGCGUAAAGAGUACGUAGGUGGUUUGUUAAGUCAGAUGUGAAAGCCCCGGGCUCAACCUGGGAACUGCAUUUGAAACUGGCAAACUAGAGUAUGGUAGAGGGGGGUAGAAUUUCUAGUGUAGCGGUGAAAUGCGUAGAUAUUAGAAGGAAUACCAGUGGCGAAGGCGGCCCCCUGGACCAAUACUGACACUGAGGUACGAAAGCGUGGGUAGCGAACAGGAGUAGAAACCCUAGUAGUCC
RNAcentral lists this ribosomal RNA (274 nucleotides) under uncultured bacterium. RNAcentral's name for it is "partial 16S ribosomal RNA". It matches the Rfam family "Bacterial small subunit ribosomal RNA", at positions 523 to 796 of the family's 1533-position model. The record is from RNAcentral.